This 253-nucleotide ribosomal RNA is filed under the name uncultured bacterium. RNAcentral describes it as "partial 16S ribosomal RNA". It matches the Rfam family "Bacterial small subunit ribosomal RNA", at positions 524 to 776 of the family's 1533-position model. The record is from RNAcentral.
UACGUAGGGGGCAAGCGUUGUCCGGAAUCAUUGGGCGUAAAGAGCUCGUAGGCGGUUUGUCGCGUUGUUCGUGAAAACUCACAGCUCAACUGUGGGCGUGCGGGCGAUACGGGCAGACUUGAGUACUGCAGGGGAGACUGGAAUUCCUGGUGUAGCGGUGGAAUGCGCAGAUAUCAGGAGGAACACCGGUGGCGAAGGCGGGUCUCUGGGCAGUAACUGACGCUGAGGAGCGAAAGCGUGGGGAGCGAACAGG